This 465-nucleotide ribosomal RNA is filed under the name Vreelandella stevensii. RNAcentral's name for it is "partial 16S ribosomal RNA". It matches the Rfam family "Bacterial small subunit ribosomal RNA", at positions 338 to 795 of the family's 1533-position model. The record is from RNAcentral. Lineage: Bacteria; Pseudomonadati; Pseudomonadota; Gammaproteobacteria; Oceanospirillales; Halomonadaceae.
CCUACGGGAGGCAGCAGUGGGGAAUAUUGGACAAUGGGCGAAAGCCUGAUCCAGCCAUGCCGCGUGUGUGAAGAAGGCCUUCGGGUUGUAAAGCACUUUCAGUGGGGAAGAAAGCCUUGGGGCUAAUACCCUCGAGGAAGGACAUCACCCACAGAAGAAGCACCGGCUAACUCCGUGCCAGCAGCCGCGGUAAUACGGAGGGUGCGAGCGUUAAUCGGAAUUACUGGGCGUAAAGCGCGCGUAGGCGGUCUGAUAAGCCGGUUGUGAAAGCCCCGGGCUCAACCUGGGAACGGCAUCCGGAACUGUCAGGAUAGAGUGCAGGAGAGGAAGGUAGAAUUCCCGGUGUAGCGGUGAAAUGCGUAGAGAUCGGGAGGAAUACCAGUGGCGAAGGCGGCCUUCUGGACUGACACUGACGCUGAGGUGCGAAAGCGUGGGUAGCAAACAGGAUUAGAUACCCCUGUAGUC